UGCGGAGGGUGCAAGCGUUAUCCGGAUUCACUGGGUUUAAAGGGUGCGUAGGUGGGCAGGUAAGUCAGUGGUGAAAUCUCCGAGCUUAACUCGGAAACUGCCGUUGAUACUAUUUGUCUUGAAUAUUGUGGAGGUAAGCGGAAUAUGUCAUGUAGCGGUGAAAUGCUUAGAUAUGACAUAGAACACCAAUUGCGAAGGCAGCUUACUACACAACGAUUGACGCUGAGGCACGAAAGCGUGGGGAUCAAACAGG
This 253-nucleotide ribosomal RNA is filed under the name uncultured bacterium. Its description in RNAcentral is "partial 16S ribosomal RNA". It matches the Rfam family "Bacterial small subunit ribosomal RNA", at positions 524 to 776 of the family's 1533-position model. The record is from RNAcentral.